Leptonychotes weddellii (Weddell seal) is the source of this 2930-nucleotide non-coding RNA. The record is from RefSeq and is a predicted model, not a curated record. Lineage: Eukaryota; Metazoa; Chordata; Mammalia; Carnivora; Phocidae.
UGUGGCGGCGUGAGACUCCCCACGGCACCGGUUUCUUCUUCCCGAGUCUAACCCUCAACACCAGUCCUUUCGCACUCUGCGGGACUUCCUGUGCGGAAUUAGGAACAAUGACUCAUCCAAUCUACUCGGGUGGAGACGUGGUGUCUAGAACCAGGGGACUGGAUGAGCUCACAAAGGACGCGAGGGUGGAAAGAUUCCGCGGCCCUUGGCAAGGAGCUGAGCAGAGCGGGGGCCCGGAAGGGGUUAAGGGCGCCACAGGAUCCCCGCAGGCGCAGAAGCAGAAGCAGGUCUGACGCCGGAGGACAGGGGAGGCGGCGGGCGGAAGCCGCUGGGAACGACUCAAUUUAUCAAGGCUUACGACAUCCUCCGUUGUCUCCCACAUGGUCUAGCGGUUAGGAUUCCUGGUUUUCACCCAGGCGGCCCGGGUUCGACUCCCGGUGUGGGAACACCGAAUCUUUUAGGAAAAAGAAAAGCCGAUUCAGGCCCUCCUCGGCUCCUCAACCAGAAGGCUGGUGUUUUUAGAAAAACCUAUAACCCAAUUUCAGAGCAGCAGGGAAGCUUGGGCCUGAAGGGAAUCCGGGCGUCCCGCCCCAAACCCGGCGCGGCUGGCGGAAGCAGGCGGAAAGGCAGUAGCUCCGACAGUGAGCAAGUUAGCUUUUGAAAUAGGGGAUGGAAUCCGAGUGAAGAAGGUGGGUCCGGCCCUAAAAUACCUGUUCGGCUGGUACUACUGAUGUAAUUGCUCCUUGUUCUGUGGCUAUGGAGCGGGUGACCGAACGGUGCCCUUCUUUGAAAGAAAAAGAAAAGACGCAUGUGGGGACAUUAUAAGGCUUUUAAGUUGCCUAAAGCCAUUUUAUUGAGGACAGCAAGAUUGCCAGAAAAGACGUAUUAUUAAGGGCAGAGUAGCUCCGCGUCCGGUCUGUGGGGUUAGCCGUCGGGCGAGCUCACUAAACCCGUUCUGUGGGGAGGGGAAGGAAGAAGGGGAACUUCGGUUAUUGUCACUAUCGAGGAGCGUGGCACGGGCCGGGAACACCACUUCCUUCUCCAGCCCCAACAUGUAUUUGACACAUUCUGUUUUUAAAACUUCUAGAACCCAUGAUAUGCUGAACUAGAAUUAGGAAUCUUAGCGUCGAUGUGUCACAAGACGGCUUCCAACUGUUACCCCAAGAAGUGUUUCCUCGGCUGUAAUCGUUUAUCUUGCUUAUCGCUCCAAACAUUUGCCAUUAGGAAAAUCCUCAAGGCGUUCAGAAGCCACACUCCUUUCCCACUGGUGUUGAAUUUUUGGAAGCUUCCCCGGUUGUUCCCAGACUGCCACCAACACUGAGACAUGACCGUGAAAAAGACUUGGUGUCCCUGUGACUUUGAAAUUUGCUCUCCUUUAAAAGGCCUUUGGGAUUCUAAGGGUCGCAAAACAAAAUGUCAUCCUUCAUGAGAAAAUUACUAGGCGGAAAAUACACAUUUAUUCAAAAUCCCUAAUAAAGGGCUUGGAGGAGAAAUUUAUCGUCAGCUGAUAAUCUGCAUUUAUGGAAUCAAGUAGGACAGAACUGAUAAGAAGAUAAAAAGCCCAAUCAUCAUAACAAUAGGGUAAGGAUGCAGAAUGAAAUCAUUCAAAGGAAGAGACACAGAGGGCAGAGUCUGGAGUGUUCCAAAUGCCAAACUUCCAUUGCCUUCUCUCUCCAUGGAAUCAGGAUGCAUUAACCUCCCAGUAUUGAUACAGAGGAGAGAGGAUUGGUUAUUGCCACAAACUGCCAAAACAUGGAUGUCUGUCCCUGGCGUUGCAGCUGAAUUCCAGUGUGGACACUCGAGUUCCUUUCCUCACCACUGACUUGCCCAAUGCCCAGGGCUGAGUUGGGUCAAACAAGUGCAACAACUCUGAGGGAUCAAGUGUGCAGCCAACGGAGGAUUCUUUCUUAAGUUCAUGUCAUGAAUUCGUGCACCAGCCUCUGCUUGGGCCACCAGCCACUGAUGAGUAAAAUGACCUCAGCGACCAGAUGCCAAGCAGAAGGCCUUGCCCUCGAGACAGUGUUGCUUCACUGGUUCUGCCUGCCCCGGAUGCUGAAGCUAGACCAAACCUUUUUGGGCGAGAUUCUCGACCAGCCAAAACUUUGCAAAAGCCAACAUUUCUGGUCAGGGAACCUUGGCUACUUCCACGAGCCUUUUGGAAGCACAAAAGCUGGUCCCCCACAGCGAGUGGUUGCCCGGCACACAGCUCUGAAUGGAGUGCUUGGCAAAUCCCUUUCGCUUCACCCUGUAACGGGAGCUCAGGCUCCCUCUCUGGCAAGAACACACUGGAAAAUUCCCCGGACGUAGAGAGCUGGCUCUAUUUCCUAGCAAUUCUACGAAGUUCUCUCUCUGUGAUGGUAAAAAUGGAGCAGCCUACACAUCUUCAGAUCACUGGGAUCUAAAACAAAGAGUCCCCAGGACAUUCUGACAAGAAACAGGCAGGGCCCUACUUUUCAGCCUGGAGCUUUCAGAAUUUAGAAUCAAUCUGGCCUCCAAGGUUCGGUCACAGUGACUGCUUCAACUCGGGGCCUGCUGGGACGUUAGUGGGUCCCCGAAUAUUUUGAAUUUCUUGGCAAAGCUGUCCCAGACCGUGUAACCUUCGUCAUCUGAAAGCAAAGACAAAUAGCUACGAGAUUUACAGAGAAAUAAAGCUGGGGGGCGGGUGAGGGGAAUCAAGCAGCCCUGGGAGCAUAGCUUCAAGUUCGACAGACUCGGAAUCGAUUCUGCCGAUGUGUGACCUUAGGGGCAAAUUCUGUAUUUUCUUUAAAUCCUAGUUCUUCAUCUGAAAAGCAAUAGAAAACGCAGUGCCUACGUGAUAAGGUCAACACGAGGAUGGCUAAGUAAACACGCAAAGUGCCCAGGAGGCACUCCCAGAUUCUUAGCCUUCUCUCUUUCCUCCUGCUCUCCACCCCCUUCUCUGGUCUCCAGAG